This is an RNA transcript of Macrobrachium nipponense, 8703 nucleotides long. It is a transcript of the gene named RING finger protein 44-like, with no coding region annotated. The transcript is spliced from 10 exons. The record is from RefSeq and is a predicted model, not a curated record. Lineage: Eukaryota; Metazoa; Arthropoda; Malacostraca; Decapoda; Palaemonidae.
UUUCAGUUUGGUGUUAGCCAAUACUUGUGGUGGUUGUGUUCCUGGUCCCCUGCUCCGACGGUCAGUCGCGUGUGUGUGUGUGACUCCCACAGAACUUUUUAAAAGGAAAAGCUCUUUUUAUCAUUAUUUAUUCCGCGAUAGAAGAACGAAGGUUUGUUGACAACCACACCAUUUAGGGCAAGAAAAAUUCUCGUACUGGAAACUGGGACAGGAAUUCUAAAAUCCAGAAUUAAGACACCGGAAGAAAAGUGUAUUGUUCCUAGACAGUCUUUUACAUUAUGUCUGUAGAUCGCAUAAAAAUUUAAGUUAUCCUAGAUGCAAGAUUGAUCUAACGUGGAGAACUUGAGUAGCGAGUGAUCAGUAUUCAGUGAAUCGGUGAUCCAACCGAGUGCAGGAAAGGAAACGCCGUAUGUGCCUUGAUUUUUAGACGUUUAGACUUCCGUUACUGAAACGUUAACCAUAAAAGCUGUUUUGUAUGAUAGUUUAAAGAGAGUUUGGUCUACAUUGCUUUUUAAAUUUUUCGAACUUCAUCUUGAUACCAGAAAUUUAAGUCCUCGAAAGGAACUUGGGAAUGACCUUCUUUUAUCAGUUUUUAAAGCUUUUAAACGUGAAUCGUUACCCGAGCUAUUAUUAGAUAAGUGUACGAAACAAAUAUCGAAAUAAGCAACGUUUUACUUGUGAAAACUAAACUUACGGUGGAAGAAGAAUAAGAGAAAGCGAGAGAGAAUAAUAGGAAGGGGACGUGAGUAGCACUUCAAGCAACUCACUGGCUUAGUGCAGAUUCUUCUUCCUCUGUCAGUACAGGAACCAUGCUCACUUCUCCUUCCUUCCUGUUAGACGAGGGACGAGCCGGCGCCACUGCCAUGGACGUUGGUACUACCGUCACGUCCUCUCAGGUGCCUGUCUCAUUGGCCAUGUCGAGCAUGAACAGUGGAGGAGGGCACCACCAGUAUCAGCAGCAGCAGCAGCAGCAACAACAGCAACAGCUCCAACAGCAGCAGCAACAGCAGCAGCAGCAGCAGCAACAGCAACAUCAUCAUCAGCAACAACAACAGCAACAGCAGCAGCAGCAGCAGCAACAUCAACAUCAACAACACCAGGCCGUCCAUAUUCAUACCAGUACCCGGGGUCCCUCAUCUAUGAUGUGCGCGACUCCAACUCAACCUCACCAUCACACGCAUCACCUGAGUGGAACACCUCACAUGCAGCCACCCACCCAUCAGAUGGGAGGUGCAAGUGGAGGUAGCUACAGCAGUGUCCCCCGUCUACACCAUUGCAAUGUGCACUCCUUUUUGUGUUCUAACCCUCCCCUCCAUCAUCAAUACCAGAUGAAUGGAGGUUGCCUUGGUCCCCAACAUCAUUAUGGCCCAAUGGUUGCACCAAGUCACCAUACAGCUACGCCACUUCUGACUCCCGCAGGCCCACCUCAUUUGAUGACCACCACCCCACAGCCACCUCAUACCCACACCUCUAUCUAUGGGCAGGCACCAAUGGGAGUGGCUCCCCCACAAGCCGUCCCAACUCACCUCACUGCCGUUCCUGGGCAACUUUCGGCAGCGCCUCAAAGUUUAGGAGUGGGUGUUCCUCCUCAGCUACCCCCACAGCACCAUCAUCAUGCACAUCAACAGCCCACUCCGCCUCUUGUUGCAUCUUUUCCUGCCCACACACAUCUACAUCAACUUCAUCAUUUACAUGCUAGCGGCGGAAGUGGCGGUGGUGCUCGAGGGGCCAGUGUUGACAUGCUUGGCCGGGGUCUGUACCGUGGUCCUGGUCAAGGCCAUGGUCUUGGUAGAGUAAGAGGACCCCGUGGAAGCAAUGGAAGUAGUUUGGGCGGUAGUAGACGCAGUAGUUCCAGCUGGCGAGGGAAUUCUCUGCCCCCUGCUGCCCCUCCCCCUCCUCCCCCACCACCUCUUCCUAGUGCUGCAGCAGCAGCUGCAACUUACCCUGGCAUUCUUUUACAUUUCUUGGCUAUGUUGUCUCAUCCAUCAUUACACCAAUACAGUGUGGUUGACCCAGUACCUGCAGAAGCUCCAGACACAGAAAAUUAUGAAGCUUUAUUACAUCUGGCAGAGAGGCUUGGUGAAGCCAAGCCUAGAGGCCUUUUGAAGACCAUGAUUGACCAGCUCCCGUCCUAUAGGUAUACUGGGGAGAAAUCUGAUACAAAACAGACAACUUGUGUUAUUUGCAUGUGUGAUUUUGAGCUUCGUCAGAUGCUACGUGUCUUACCAUGUUUGCACGAGUUUCAUACCAAAUGCGUUGAUAAGUGGUUAAAGGCAAGAUAUCACUGGCAUGGUUUCAUCAGUAUCAUCACCAUAGGUUGUCAAGAAACAGCAGUUAUUCUUCUUCUUCUUGCAUAUAAUAACACUGCAACUAAGGGUCUCACACUCCAUUAGUAUCUCAUGGAUAUGACAUCUGACUGGCUGUUGCCAUGCUGUUGGUAACCUAGACUGUGUCAAACCGGACUUGCCCUAUAUGUCGUGGAGAUGCCAGCGAAUAUCUUAAAGAAAACUCCACUUCGGAAUGAAGCAGGUUAAAAAAAAGUGUUUAAAAGGGAAAUCUGAAUGCUAAAGAAGUUUGAAGAUUAAUACAACUAAGUUGUGAGUCCCAGCCAAUACAGCUCCACUAACUAUGUGGAUGUUCAGCUCACAACAUUUUAGUACACAUACUAGAAGUACCAGACAGAGUACUGUCUAUUUUUUUUACCCUUAUUAUUCCUUAGCCCAAGAGGAUUUAUCUGAAAAUUUAGCAUCAUUAGCCUUGUUUUUGAGAAUAAAUUGGGAUUGCUCUAUUUUGGUUUCGUGAUACACUACAUGAAAAUGACUGGUAAUGUCGAUCAAAAAAGAAUCUAUGCACACAUUUGAAGAUGUGACUGCAAAUGUCGAAUAGGAAUUGGCAGGAGUUUAUAACCAACGUUAUUGCAGGUGUUUGAUGGUUAUGUGCACAUACAAAAGGCAAACAUGAAAGUUUUCUCUGUAUUUCUCAUGGGGCUUAUGGUGACAGGAAUUGUGCUAAUCACAUUAUUUACGAUAACAGAGGAGGCAGAGAUUUUGCUUCUUCCUUUUAAAAACAAAGGCAACUACCACUUUCAAAUUUCUUAGAGCCUUUACCGAGUGAACUUUCUCAACGCCUGAUGUGCAUAUGCGCAGUGUGUUUUAUCUGAUUGGUCACAGGACAGCAGUUAACCUUCCCUUGUUGUUCUGUCCAAGGCUUUGUUUGUUUAGAGCUCCCGGUGGAGUUUAUGUUGUUAGCUGUCCAUUUUCUGUGUUUGCCUUCAUGUGAUGAGGCUGUGUCUGCAACAAUUAGUCCUUUAACCCAUGGUGUCUUAGAUAUUGCCAGGGAGUUGAUCUUCUCAUUUGUGUUGUGCAUGAGGACAUAAUGGAAAACAUUUUCUUAGAAAGACCUAUAUUGUUGUGCUAUGCAUUAUAUUAAUAAACUCCUCAUUGUGAGGCUUAUUUCUUAUACUACUGGCAGAGAAAGUAGGAUCAUGUGUGAUAGUGGUCAAAAGCUUAAGCAUUUCCAUGAAAAAAAAAAAAACAGUUGCAAGCAAUUCCAUUGUUGUUUGUUAUCCAUUUUGGCAUAUGUGGAACACCAUCACUCAGUGCAUGUUUUAUUCAGCAUAAGAUCUUCAGUAUUCCAGUUUGAAGUUUUGAAAUCAUAGAAAUCUGUCUCAAAUUAUAGCAGGAUCAUUUUUCAGAGUUACCUAGAUAAGGUAUAAGCCAUUCUUAAUGCUGUAGUGUUUUUGCUGAAUAGUGGUGAUGGAUGAUUAAUUUUACAAUAUAAUGUUAUACCAGUACGUCCAGUAGCAUAGUAAUGACCAUUAGGCCUGAAACUCCCAAAACAUGUCCACAGAUUUUAGUACCUCCCUAAGCAUGCUAUAUUUGUUUAGAAGAAAAAUAAAAAAAGGAAAAUUAUUAGCAUAUGCAACUUCCCUAAUGCUUGGAAUCUGUACAGGUUAUUAUUGAAACACAUAUGCUCUCAUUUUAUUUACUAGAUCAUAAAUUCCAAACAUGUAUGGUGUGAUAUUAAGUUUUCCUUUCAGUUUUUCAUUUACUUAUUUAUUCAUAUAUUUAUUUUUGUCAAGUGGUCUUCACAAGAGAAUACUGACUUACGAUGAUACCUUCUGAUGCAGCAUGGGACUUGAUAUGUGAAAGAUUCUGCCCAAUCAAAAAUAGUCAGUGAGGAAAAUGUGAGAAGGAUCAUGAGUGAGGUUCCAUGUUGUGGGUUUGGACUGAUUUUUUUCAUUUUGUUAUUGUAAUCUGUUCUAGGACUCAAAGCUCAACAGACUUUUCCCCCCAUUUCAUGACUAAAUGUACUCCUUUUUGCUUCGUAGACAAAUUUAGCUAAUGUAAUCCAUUUUUUAUCAACUAUAAUAUAAGCAUUUCUUGAAUAUUUGCUGUUACCUUCUGUAUUCUCUUGAAUCAUUUUCCUCUUGAUGUUAAUAUUUCUCUCAUUAGCCAAGAAAAGGAACUCACAGCCUCAAUACCUGAAAUCUUGACCUUUGCAUUGCUUAUACUAUAUUUGUUUUCACUUAACUCUAGUUUAGGGAGGUUAUGUAGUUACAUAUCCAAGAUGUUUCACAUCUGAAAAAUACAUGUUUUGUAUAAGAGGUAAAAUAUUAAGGCAGUCAUAUUUGUGAUAAUUCAUGUUUAAGCAUCCAUUUUCUAUCACGAUUCCACACUCCGUUUCCACGUUCCACUGCCUUCCUUGUAUUCACCACAAAUGCUUCCACCUCACACAGUGAACAGUGCUGGCUAGAUGAGACUCGGUUGUUGAUCACUGGGUAUUAUGUUUAUCAAGCAUGACUUCUGAGCUGUUGAUACCAAUGAAUAACCGAAGCUAGUAUCCACUGCCCAGCUGAGUUUUUGUCUUGUAAAUGUUUCACUCUGUCAAGAUGUUAUACCCAGAAUUAAUGAACAGCUGUGAAGAUUUCUUGGCUGCUCUUGUAUUGAAACGUGAUGCAAUGUUUUAAGCAAUGGCUUGGUUAUUUUUCAUACAUUUAAGGGCUGAGAAGUCAGGACGUCCAUCUCCAGCAUAUGUGUAAGUUCACUAAGUGUGUUUUGUACAACCAUGUGCCUCAUUAUUUAGUGUAAUUAGCAGCAACUCUCACAUGUGGGAAUAUGAAUGGUGCUUGUAUCAUAACAUGCUACUUUAGAGAUUGGAAGGAUGGGCAUUUGUAUUGGUUAGUUCCAGAGCAGUAAUUUUAAGAAGCAUCAUGUUUCUAGUAUGAUUAUCAUGAGAGGUCAUAUGUCUGCAGGUUAUUGGGGUAAAUGGCCAAACUCAGUCAAUUUAUUUUUUUCCACUCAAUUUUGCAAUUGGUAAUGGCUCUUCAAUAAGCCUACAGAAUUUCUCUUUCAUGUGAGAGGAUGCUGCAAGUCUCAUUGGUGGUGCCCUUCCUCGCUGUGUUUAGAAUCAGUCAUUUUUGGGCCAGGUGUAGAGCUUGCUUCCCACUGCAUGAUGUUCCCUCGGUUAAUGGAAUUGUCAGGUUUUGAGGUACUUGGAACUUUGUGCAAGAGGUUUUUGGUUGUCACCUGCACCAGUAUGCAAAGGAGCAAAUACCUGUACUCUCAAGGAGGUUUGUUGGUUUCACAGGUUACCCUGGAAGCAGAUACACUUCUUUGAAGUACUGUUUUUGUGUUCUUCAGUUGCAGGUGAUCUUAUAAAAGUCAUGCGCAUAGUGACGUAUCAUGGUAGGAAUACUGGGUGAACGUACAGUAUAUUAGUUAUCAGUGUUUUGUGUGAUGGUAUGCUAUGCUGCUUCAGAGAAUGUGACCCUUAAGUAUUGCUGGAGGGAGAAAGAAGGAAAAUGUAAAGAGAUUUUGCACAUCUGUGGAAGAUCUCUUAAAGGUUGGGAGCUCUAGCUUCUGCCCAUAUCUGAGGAAGAUAUUUUGGACAUGUCCUUCAUAUCUCAUAUAUUGGCUUGAUCUGUAGAUGCCUUGAGCUGCUGACUUGUAGUUCUCCCUUUUACUGUCAAGCUAACCUUUUUACAUGUAUUUCUUAGCACAGCAUUCAAUGGCUCAUUUAUCCUGUCAUAGCCCUCCUUAGCUAGGUAGAGUUUUUGAUUUUUUAUGGUGAACUUGGCCAAAUACUUCACACUUUUCUCUCCAUCUCUUAAGUGAUAGAAAGCAAUACAUUCGUAGAUUUUAGCCUUGUGAGAUAUCUCCAUUAGUAUAGUCUUUUUGUCAUCACUGGAGGGUUUCUGGACAUUUUUACUUUCAUCCUGUCAUUAAUGGCUCUCCCUAUCUUGCCUAAUAGGUGAAAUUAGUUGAUACUUGGCCUUGUAUUCUACCUGUUUUCAAGUAUAUUACAUCUAGUGUACGUAUAUCUGAUUUGCAGGAAAUUCUAAAUAUUGCCAUACUAUUCUUCUUUUGACAUCAUUCCAUCAGUUGUAAUUUAAGAUUUUUCCCCAUGGGUUUUUUAGGCAGCACCCUAUCAGCACCAUUUUUCCUAUUAGGCAUGCAUGGGGAUGCCAGUGUGUGUAUAAAGUAUUAUGGCUUGAUGUUCAAAGCUCACGGUAUUCUACUAUAUAUACUACCUCAGCCUUAAACAUGCUAAGCACAAUAUUAGUAAGUUGGACAUAGUUCUUGAUAAUGCCAGAAUAAUGACCGGGUUUUAAAAGUUUAUAAAAAGAUUAGUAAUCCCAUGCAAAUCAAGGUUGUCUUAGUCUAAAACAUUAUGUGGCAGUAAACUCUGUUGUGCAGUUCAUUUAGUAUCAAAAGUGCUAAAGUUUUACCUGAAAAUAUGCCAUGUCAUGUUAUAGAGUAUUCAACCUACUGAAAAACACCUUCGACAAUGUUAGCAGCAACGUCAAAAAGUGAAAUGGGACUUAACAUGUAAUGUAUGUGUUCAAGGAAUGGCUACAGUCAAAAGACUUUUGAUGGGGCUUCAUAUUUAUAUAAGACUAACAAAAGCCAGUACACUACUAUUCUUUGUUGCUGCUAAUAGAGGUGUAGAAGCCGUUGCCAGGAAUUGCAUUACAGACAGGCAGCAGGGACAGGUAUGCGAUGAUAUGUCAGUUUGUGCAAAUCUGUCAUGAGUCAUAAGUGGAUUUAUUGUAAAUUUUGGCUGUUUGGAGCUAAUAGGUUGUGCCUAAAGCAAUAUUUUCACUUUCCUCAAUAGUGUCUGUAACAACAGUCCAUGGCUUCUGCUGUGCUUGUGUGCUAUCUUUGGGUCAAUUCCUCAAAGUUGUGGUGUGGUCAGUGUGAAGUGGUGGCAUGUGCUGCUGUUUUAUCUGAUCCUUGUUUCAUAUAUAUGUGGUUCUUAGAGUCCUGGAAAGUUUUAUAGACUUGGCUUGUUAAGUGUUCCAGUGCAUUUGCUUUCAUUUGUAGGUAAAUAUGAUGUAUAUACUAUGUAUGUAUAUGUGUGGUGUAUUCCAUAUAUAUGCAUAUGUAUGUAUAAGUGUAUUUAUGAUUUUACUUUUUUGGAUGUUGACCUCAGAUUGAUAGUUGAUUUUUGAUGUACAUAGAUUUUUGGUUCAGAUAAUGAUUUUAGUGAAAUAAUGUUUUGUUAAAUGAGUAUUGUCAAAAGUAGGUGGGCUCUUUCCAUUAGUAUUAAACGGCAAGAAUGCCGCCACUCACACCAGACCCUGGGCCAUAUGUUACCUGCCCUAGAACUCCAGUUUACGGGGCCAGAAUUCUUUUCAACAUAUUGGAGAAUGGUUUGAUUAUUAGUAAAGCUGUAUGAUUCCCUUUUAGUAAUGUUGUAUGAAAAAUUACCAAAAAGUCAGUCAAUGUAUAGAUUUAUCUCAUAUGUCAAAGGAAUUCUGGUAGAUAUUAAAUGAAUAUAAGCCCUGUAAGGAGAUUAUUUUCAACAUAUGAUGAUGAUUACACGUUUAUAUAUAUUUUUUUAAAUGCGAGUCUUUAGUUUUUGUGGUUCUUCUCAGGAAACAUUUCAUAAGAAUUCCUAUAGAUUUUCAAUGAAUGGGUUAUGAGUUUCAGAGGCAGCGCUUGAAAUUGACAUAUUGGGCGUGGUGACAUAUGGGCCUUGUCCGCACUAACCUGCCUUGUAGUACAAAUGUGCAUUUUGUAUUUCACCUAAAUUCACUUGAUUUUUUGAAUAUGCAUAUUAAAUAUAUGUGUGUGUGCGUAUAUUACGUGUGUAUGUAUGUUUGUAUGUAUGCAUGUAGUGUAUAUACACAAUGGUACAUGUAGGUUGAUGGUGUAUUUGCAGAAGUUAUAUAUACAUAUGUAUGUAUGUGUGUGACUCAGUGUAUACAGGUAUAUACUAUAGCAAUAAACCCACAAUUUAAAAAAACAUUAUUGCUGGACUUACACUGAAAUUGGGGUUUUUUGCUCUAGUAUAUAAUAAAGGUGUAUGUAUGUAUGUGUGUGUAUAAUAUUUAUGUGCAUAUAAAUACUUUAGCAACAGACUAUUUUUGUGCAAACUGAUCAUUAAAAUUAAUUCUAGGUGAGAUUUGAACCUUUGACCUUUUGAUGAUGUGUACUACUCCAUUGACUAGUGAGAACAAGAAAAAAUUGGUCUUGAAUUUCAUAUCAUGGCACAGCAUACAUACCCUUGAUUCCUGGUGUGUAGCAUUGUGAGUGGAUAUGUACAAAUUCCACCAUCAGUCUCUGCAAGUGAACUGGUGGUUUAAUAGGUUAGAGCCUUUCCCAUGUAAUGCAAAGGUUGUAAGUUGUUUUAAUCUAAUCCCAGGCAAAAUUUAUAUUAAGUUGCCUUGUGUUUUAUGUGUUUAUUGUGCUUGGUUAC